UUAGGAAUUUUGGGCAAUGGGCGCAAGCCUGACCCAGCAACGCCGCGUGGGGGACGGAGGCCUUCGGGUCGUAAACCCCUUUUCCCGGGGACGAUGGUGACGGUACCCGGGGAAGAAGGCCCGGCUAACUACGUGCCAGCAGCCGCGGUAAUACGUAGGGGCCCAGCGUUGUCCGGAUUUAUUGGGCGUAAAGCGCGCGCAGGCGGCCCGGCGAGUCGCCCGUGAAAUCCCCCGGCUCAACCGGGGGGGGUCGGGCGAGACAGGCGGGCUGGAGGCGGGUAGGGGGCAGCGGAAUUCCCGGUGUAGUGGUGGAAUGCGUAGAGAUCGGGAGGAACACCAGUGGCGAAGGCGGCUGCCUGGACCCUUGCCUGACGCUGAGGCGCGAAAGCGUGGGGAGCGAUCCGGAUUAGAUACCCGCGUAGUCC
RNAcentral lists this ribosomal RNA (425 nucleotides) under uncultured bacterium. RNAcentral describes it as "bacterial SSU rRNA". It matches the Rfam family "Bacterial small subunit ribosomal RNA", at positions 355 to 796 of the family's 1533-position model. The record is from RNAcentral.